Molecule: ribosomal RNA, 1444 nt
Filed under: Escherichia coli
Lineage: Bacteria; Pseudomonadati; Pseudomonadota; Gammaproteobacteria; Enterobacterales; Enterobacteriaceae
Description: partial 23S ribosomal RNA
Rfam family: Bacterial large subunit ribosomal RNA
Source: RNAcentral
CUGGAGGUAUCAGAAGUGCGAAUGCUGACAUAAGUAACGAUAAAGCGGGUGAAAAGCCCGCUCGCCGGAAGACCAAGGGUUCCUGUCCAACGUUAAUCGGGGCAGGGUGAGUCGACCCCUAAGGCGAGGCCGAAAGGCGUAGUCGAUGGGAAACAGGUUAAUAUUCCUGUACUUGGUGUUACUGCGAAGGGGGGACGGAGAAGGCUAUGUUGGCCGGGCGACGGUUGUCCCGGUUUAAGCGUGUAGGCUGGUUUUCCAGGCAAAUCCGGAAAAUCAAGGCUGAGGCGUGAUGACGAGGCACUACGGUGCUGAAGCAACAAAUGCCCUGCUUCCAGGAAAAGCCUCUAAGCAUCAGGUAACAUCAAAUCGUACCCCAAACCGACACAGGUGGUCAGGUAGAGAAUACCAAGGCGCUUGAGAGAACUCGGGUGAAGGAACUAGGCAAAAUGGUGCCGUAACUUCGGGAGAAGGCACGCUGAUAUGUAGGUGAAGCGACUUGCUCGUGGAGCUGAAAUCAGUCGAAGAUACCAGCUGGCUGCAACUGUUUAUUAAAAACACAGCACUGUGCAAACACGAAAGUGGACGUAUACGGUGUGACGCCUGCCCGGUGCCGGAAGGUUAAUUGAUGGGGUCAGCGCAAGCGAAGCUCUUGAUCGAAGCCCCGGUAAACGGCGGCCGUAACUAUAACGGUCCUAAGGUAGCGAAAUUCCUUGUCGGGUAAGUUCCGACCUGCACGAAUGGCGUAAUGAUGGCCAGGCUGUCUCCACCCGAGACUCAGUGAAAUUGAACUCGCUGUGAAGAUGCAGUGUACCCGCGGCAAGACGGAAAGACCCCGUGAACCUUUACUAUAGCUUGACACUGAACAUUGAGCCUUGAUGUGUAGGAUAGGUGGGAGGCUUUGAAGUGUGGACGCCAGUCUGCAUGGAGCCGACCUUGAAAUACCACCCUUUAAUGUUUGAUGUUCUAACGUUGGCCCCUAAUCGGGGUUGCGGACAGUGUCUGGUGGGUAGUUUGACUGGGGCGGUCUCCUCCUAAAGAGUAACGGAGGAGCACGAAGGUUGGCUAAUCCUGGUCGGACAUCAGGAGGUUAGUGCAAUGGCAUAAGCCAGCUUGACUGCGAGCGUGACGGCGCGAGCAGGUGCGAAAGCAGGUCAUAGUGAUCCGGUGGUUCUGAAUGGAAGGGCCAUCGCUCAACGGAUAAAAGGUACUCCGGGGAUAACAGGCUGAUACCGCCCAAGAGUUCAUAUCGACGGCGGUGUUUGGCACCUCGAUGUCGGCUCAUCACAUCCUGGGGCUGAAGUAGGUCCCAAGGGUAUGGCUGUUCGCCAUUUAAAGUGGUACGCGAGCUGGGUUUAGAACGUCGUGAGACAGUUCGGUCCCUAUCUGCCGUGGGCGCUGGAGAACUGAGGGGGGCUGCUCCUAGUACGAGAGGACCGGAGUGGAC